This 69-nucleotide transfer RNA is filed under the name Pyura gangelion. RNAcentral's name for it is "transfer RNA-Phe". Lineage: Eukaryota; Metazoa; Chordata; Ascidiacea; Stolidobranchia; Pyuridae. The record is from RNAcentral.
UACAAAGUAGUUUAGAAUAAAAUAAAGUCUUGAAAAGACUUAGAGGGAGUUUGAUGAUUUCUUUUGUAG